Molecule: ribosomal RNA, 207 nt
Filed under: uncultured bacterium
Lineage: Bacteria
Description: partial 16S ribosomal RNA
Rfam family: Bacterial small subunit ribosomal RNA
Source: RNAcentral
CUCGUAGGCGGUUUGUCGCGUCGGGAGUGAAAACACUGGGCUUAACUCAGUGCUUGCUUCCGAUACGGGCAGACUAGAGGUAUUCGGGGGAGAACGGAAUUCCUGGUGUAGCGGUGAAAUGCGCAGAUAUCAGGAGGAACACCGGUGGCGAAGGCGGUUCUCUGGGAAUGUCCUGACGCUGAGGAGCGAAAGUGUGGGGAGCGAACA